RNAcentral lists this ribosomal RNA (430 nucleotides) under uncultured bacterium. RNAcentral's name for it is "partial 16S ribosomal RNA". It matches the Rfam family "Bacterial small subunit ribosomal RNA", at positions 354 to 796 of the family's 1533-position model. The record is from RNAcentral.
GUGGGGAAUAUUGCACAAUGGGCGCAAGCCUGAUGCAGCAACGCCGCGUGAGGGAUGACGGCCUUCGGGUUGUAAACCUCUUUUAGUAGGGAAGAAGCGAAAGUGACGGUACCUGCAGAAAAAGCACCGGCUAACUACGUGCCAGCAGCCGCGGUAAUACGUAGGGUGCAAGCGUUGUCCGGAAUUAUUGGGCGUAAAGAGCUCGUAGGCGGCUUGUCGCGUCUGCUGUGAAAUCCCGGGGCUCAACCCCGGGCCUGCAGUGGGUACGGGCAGGCUAGAGUGCGGUAGGGGAGAUUGGAAUUCCUGGUGUAGCGGUGGAAUGCGCAGAUAUCAGGAGGAACACCGAUGGCGAAGGCAGAUCUCUGGGCCGCUACUGACGCUGAGGCACGAAAGCGUGGGGAUCGAACAGGAUUAGAAACCCGGGUAGUCC